CCUACGUGAGGCAGCAGUGAGGAAUAUUUGUCAAUGGGCGCGAGCCUGAACCAGCCAAGUAGCGUGAAGGAUGACUGCCCUACGGGUUGUAAACUUCUUUUAUAAAGGAAUAAAGUGAGCCACGUGUGCCUUUUUGUAUGUACUUUAUGAAUAAGGAUCGGCUAACUCCGUGCCAGCAGCCGCGGUAAUACGGAGGAUCCGAGCGUUAUCCGGAUUUAUUGGGUUUAAAGGGAGCGUAGAUGGGUUGUUAAGUCAGUUGUGAAAGUUUGCGGCUCAACCGUAAAAUUGCAAUUGAUACUGGCAGUCUUGAGUACAGUUGAGGUAGGCGGAAUUCGUGGUGUAGCGGUGAAAUGCUUAGAUAUCACGAAGAACUCCGAUUGCGAAGGCAGCUUACUAAACUGCAACUGACAUUGAUGCUCGAAAGUGUGGGUAUCAAACAGGAUUAGAUACCCGGGUAGUC
This 460-nucleotide ribosomal RNA is filed under the name uncultured bacterium. RNAcentral's name for it is "partial 16S ribosomal RNA". It matches the Rfam family "Bacterial small subunit ribosomal RNA", at positions 338 to 795 of the family's 1533-position model. The record is from RNAcentral.